UGUCCAGACAACAGCAGGUCACAGUGCUUCAAGUUGUCAUACAGAGCAGACAGGAACUCCUUAAUUCCCUCGCCAUCUAUAGGAGGAAUGUGACAUCUGAACCAGGAGGGCAGUUCUCAGUUGCAGGUGUGCUGACACUUCCAAGGUUUUUUAAAAGUCUUUCACAGUAGGUCAGAAGAGGGACUGUCAGGAUAAAAUAAAUAGAUCUACUUCCAACAUGUAUAGAUUGUGUGGUACAAGGCAUAACCUCUUACGGUGUUGUGAACCAUAACAAAACUGUAACACAAACUCUGUAAGCAACCCAGAUCAAACAUCCUGCAAAUGGAUGUAGAAACAAAGUCCAACAAAGAGCAGUCUUGCUCCUUCCUGAUAAAAGCCCUUCUGUUCUGGCAAGAGGAAACAGUAUUGACAAUGAAUGACAUUAAUCAACCCUGCUUGGACAUGGCCACUAUUACUACAUGAUAUGGGAGAGUAACUGUUAGGUUCUGUAAACAUGCCUUGCCUUGCCUUUUUACUGUAGAACCUAUCAGAGUCGCAACAGGAAGGAUCAAGGAUUGGCUAAGGUGAAGAGCACAGGUCAAAACUGGGGGAGUUCGAACCUAAUAAACCACCUGUAGAGGUCAGAUAACCUUGACCUAUUAUUUGGAGGAAACAAUAACACCAGCAAGAAAAAUAUUGACUUGCUGCAAUGAAUGAGAGUUACAUGCAUGGAAUAGUGUUGCCCUGGAAAAAAUGUAAAGUUUCAUUUUUCUUUCCAAAUGUUUUGAUAAAUUACAACAACAUCUUUUUUUUUAUAGAAAAUUUCAGCCCAUGAACCUUUUUUAAAUAAGACGCUAUAGAAAAAUGCAUGGAUACCAGUUUGCUUUUUGUGACCAAAAGUAUGUAUAUGUCAAUACACUUUGAGCAUCUUAAGUAAAUUUCCGGCGGAUACAGUUAUCAAAGUUUAAUGCAACAGUCCUUUUGACUCUGUCUCCAGAUGCAAGACAAUCACUGUUUACAUUUCAGAAGUGAUAGGAAGAGAAAGCGACAUAUCUCUGAUACCUGUGUAUUUUAAGAUGCUGUGUUCUGAUACCUGUGUAUUUUAAGAUGCUGUGCUAUUACAUGCCUGAGUAUCCCAGGGACAAAUGUCAGUAUGUGACAUGACAUGAAACUGGUGACAUGAUAGGAGGAGCAGAAUUUUUCUGAUGAUAGGAAUCAAGAAACAUCCCAAAAUGAAUCUUUUUAGAAUUUGUCAAACACUACCAAAUGACUAUAAUCUCAAGAGUAUUAUACAAUCAGCAAGAAAAGUUUUAAUGUAAUGAACAAAACUAAAG
Molecule: long non-coding RNA, 1313 nt
Organism: Branchiostoma floridae (Florida lancelet)
Lineage: Eukaryota; Metazoa; Chordata; Leptocardii; Amphioxiformes; Branchiostomatidae
Exons: 2
Source: RefSeq, a predicted model, not a curated record